UACGGGGGGAGCAAGCGUUGUUCGGAAUCACUGGGCGUAAAGGGCGUCUAGGCGGUUUGGUAAGUGGGAUGUGAAAUCCCCGGGCUCACCCCGGGACCUGCAUCCCAAACUGCUGAGCUUGAGUACAGGAGAGGGUGGGGGAAUUCCAGGUGUAGCGGUGAAAUGCGUAGAUAUCUGGAGGAACACCGGUGGCGAAGGCAGCUCGCUGGGACGGUACUGACGCUGAGGCGCGAAAGCGUGGGGAGCGAACAGG
This 253-nucleotide ribosomal RNA is filed under the name uncultured bacterium. Its description in RNAcentral is "partial 16S ribosomal RNA". It matches the Rfam family "Bacterial small subunit ribosomal RNA", at positions 524 to 776 of the family's 1533-position model. The record is from RNAcentral.